This 4327-nucleotide long non-coding RNA is filed under the name Gallus gallus (chicken). RNAcentral's name for it is "lncRNA (ENSGALG00010025260.1)". Lineage: Eukaryota; Metazoa; Chordata; Aves; Galliformes; Phasianidae. The record is from RNAcentral.
AGCGCCUCGCGGGGGCGGGAAGGAGAGAGAGAGCGGGGGCUGCUGUGCGGAGUGCCGCCUCGGGAGCGGGCAGCGCGAGGGAAACUCCUCGCCCCCUUCGUGAGCCGAAGGGACCGCUUUGCGCUAGCGAGAAGCGGGUGUUCCUGGCUCGUAACCAUCCCCUCGUCGUGGUGAGAGCGCUACCGCCGGUUGAUACUGAAUCAACUCCACGAGGUGUGUGGGCAGCUGCCUUGCUUUGUAAACAUAGUUGCAACCUCGCUAAGAACGCCGUGAGGCUUCGGCAGCUGCGUGUGUGAGGGCUGCGCAGCGCUGGAGCCCGGUAAACGUGUCUGCCUCACAGUGUUUACUCUCUGCAAAAUCCCAGCAGAACGAGUUAUCAGAAAAUGGAUGAAAGAAUGCCCUCUAGAGGCAGAAUUCAGCUGAAUAAAAUUCCCAGAUACAGAGAAGAAGAAUUGGAGAACAUAAACAUUACAGCCAUAUGGAGAAGAGUUGGCAUUGCUCAAGCCUCGUGUAAAUACAAACAAGGAAAUGCUGCCUUCUACGAUGCCUGUUAUAGCAAUGAAACUGUAUGAAUUUCAUCCAUGAUUUCUGACAUUUGAUCUUCGUAUAGGAGCAGAGGAUGCCAAGAGAAGAGGAGCCUCGUGUGAGACCUCAGCGGGUAGCUUCUAUCCUCCCUCAUUCUGCUUCAACAGGAGCAAGCAGGAUGAGUGCUUCUCACUACCAAGAUGUUGGAGCACUGCACACGUGCUGGGACUUUUACCAAGGUGGACAAAGAGAAUGGACUCCUAAGAGAGCUCAGGACCAAGAAGAUGAGAUGAAUUCAUGGACUUUUGGAUAAUACACAGCUGAGACAGUCUACCAUGGAAGCAACUCCUACCACUUUGGAUAACACACACUGAGGAAGAUAUAGUCAUUUUUGGUGUCCCAGAGAAACAGCUGCAGUCCUCAGAGGGUUGUUAUGAGGAUGGUUUCAACACUGCUGCCUCUUUUUGGUAAGACGUUUUAUUUCUUGCUGUGAAAUUGUUUAUGUUCAGGGCAAAAGUUGGUCUGUUCUCAUGUGAUAAUCCCACAAAGACUUGGCAUAGAAGGAAGCAACAAUGGAAUGAGUUAUAAUUGUUUGUGUUGCUUUCUGAAGGAUAUAAAUAAGCAUAUAUUGCUAUUGUGUGUUUCAAGAAUAGUGUUGUAAAGCAGUCUUCGCUACAGCUAUUAUUUUGAAUCUCUUCUAGAAAAUGCCAACUGUAUACAUUGCCUUUUAAUCCUGUGCUUCUUCAGUAGUGGACCUCAAAUUGAUCUGAUGACUAGAAAGUGGAUUUAAUGUCUGAUUUGAAGCAGCUGUUUGUUUGACUCUGAACGGAGCAGUAAUGAUUAAGGGUUGUUAUCAGUUGACUGUCAAAUGGUUUAAGUGACUUGAGAUUUUUGGAUUACCGGUAGAUUUUUGUGUGGACUCCUUGGCACGUAAUGGUUGACAUCCUUACUGGCCUUCUCUGGCCAGUUUGACAUGCCAUGCACCUCUUAGCUCACAUGUGAGGUAUAUUGGCAAAGUGUGCGUGUGGGUAUCUGUGUUUUAACAUGGCUUGUAUUUUUUCUGUUGUUUCCAUGCAUGAUGUCUUUUAGCAACAUCAAAGUAUCCUUUGCAAAGAUUCUAUUCUUAUGUUUACAAACUAAUGAAGAAGCUCUACUUCUAGAGUUGUUCUAGAAGUGUUAUUAACCGAAAUGUGUAAAUAAGGAAGCAAUCUGAAGAACAAGAAGCUCAGUUGAUGGUAGUUUAAUUGAAAGCACUGCUUAAACAAAAGGAAGGGGGCACAGCUAACAAAAUGGAAAAGGGAAAAUCGGUAGAAAAGUAACAGUAGUUGUAAGCUGCUGUGAAACAACACAGACUAAAGAAAAUUGUGUUUAUGUUUUGGGUUUUGUUUUUGUUGCUAGUUUAUUGUUUUUAUAAUGAAUCACACAGAAAUGUAAGAGAAACCAGCAGCAAAGACCUGCAGUGAGAUACUGUGUAGAUUUGUAACGCAGUGCAAAUGCACACAAGUGUUAAAAUACAUUGUCCUAUUUUGAUUAGAGACUCAUGGCUACAACCUGGCUUAUCUCCUUACAUCUCAUACCAAGCAUGUAAGUCUGCAGAGCAUAAAACUGGCUGUACAUUUUGCUUGAGCACACUUGCAAUCCAUCUUGUAAAAAAAAAAAAAAAAAAAAAAAAAAAAAAAAAAAAAAAAACCCACAAAAAAACACACCAACCCUCGCAGCCAUGGGAAUAGUCACAGCCUUGUUAAUUUUCAGAAGUCCCCAGUGGGACAUCAUUUUCUUUUAUCUUUUCACAGAUAGCCCGUAGAAUCUUAUGCAUCUUGUGCUGGUUUGGUAUUGAGUGGGCUAUAGUUAUGUAUUAUUUAACACUUUGGCCAAGCCUUGGUUUCAUGAACAAUUCAUCUUCUGCUGUGUGCAUCUGCUCUAGUGAGUAAUGAAGGCGACCAGCCUACGAUUGUGAAGUGCCCCGGGUUCUCUCUCUUACCUAAUUCUGCUUAACGGCAUUUUGAGCUAAUUUUUCUCCUGCCUUUCCUUUGAGAUAAUUCUUUUCUCAGAUGCUGAAUAAUGUCUUCAUCUUACGUAUUGCCAUGACAGUGUCCAUAGGGAAGCUACAAAGCUCGCUAAUGCUGUCACACCCUGUAUUUACUGUUAGAAAUCCUGGUAAUGCAAAGUGCCUGGGGUCAAAGGGGCUACAGAUUUUAGUUUAUAUUUACAGGGAUCCUACUAGCUCUUCUGAUUUAUUGGUUUUUGUGAUCAGUUGGAUAAAUGAAGAUAUUCUGGAACCAUACAUGAAAUACUAAUCUUUUCAGCUUCGUCAUGAACCUUUGCUAAGUGCUAGGACAUUAUAUAAUAGUCUGUUGUUCAGCUAUUCCUCAGUUUUCAGAGGAAAAAAUAAUGUUUCAAAAUUAACUUCCUUAGGCUCUGUUUUUAUGGAAUAUGAGCAGUAUAUUUGCCUAACCUCCGCAGCUCAGAAUUUUCAGAGGGUUAGUCAAGGUAAAAUUGACAAUGUCUAUAUAAAAUGAUGACUAUGCUGAGUAUUUCUUAACUUGCCAGGAAUGGUGAUGACGUGGGGCUUUUUAAAAGCGUGUGUGUGUUUGUUUUUGUUGUUGUGCUUGAGCAAAGGCUCAAGCUUUUGUUGAGGUUUUUUGCCUACCUUUUUUGAUAGACUUCCUGCAUUGCCUGUCCAAAUAUAUUUGCUGCUGUGUGAGAGAUUUCUGUUAUAUUAUUCUAUAAGUUUCUCUCCUUCCAGAAUGAAAUAUCAAGCUGAGGCUAAACUGUAAAAAUAAUGUGUAAACCCAAUUAGGUUAGAUUUCAACUGGGGCUUAUUGGUUAAACUGUAGGAGAGACAUGUUCAGUUUGUACUCUCUGGACAGAGUGUGUACAUCUCACUUAAAAUGGAUGAAAGUAUAUUGAUUUGUGCACAUUGAGAACAGGGCCCUUGCUUUAGCUCAGCAGCUUCAUGGGUCUUGAGUUGGACAGACUUCUCUGUAUGAAUUAACUGCAGUAAGAAGAGGGGGGGAAAGGGAGUUCAUCCUAAUGUUAGUAUUUGUCAGUGUCUCUUUGCAGAGUACUAAAAUGACAAGGAUUGGUUCAGUGACCAUCUUGUAUGGUAUGUUGACACUGAAAAGCAUAACACUGCCACUGCAUACUUCUGCUUUCCGUUCCUUGUUUCUGUAUCAGCACAGCACGCAUGUACUCAUGCACACGACAUACAAUUUGUGCCAUUAAUGAAACCGCAGGAAAAUGACUCAGGUGUGGCUUAGAAGGAGGUGAAAAUGCAUGCAUCCAUACAAGUGUGUGUUAGGAAGAUGGGAUUUGCAAUAUUUUUGUUUUAUAAGUAAACUUUUACUCUUUUUUUUUUUUUUUUUUACUGAACAGUUAAGAAAAUAAAAAAAUGAAUCGCCUAACACCAUGUGAGGUGAUGUUCAGAGCAGCAUAGGCUGUUCUAAUGGCUGAUUUUAAUAAUAAAAGACAACAGGGGACUAAAAGGUGUGGUGUGGUAAGCUGAGAAACACAUUCCUUUCCCCAGAGGGUGUACUUAGCUUUGUGCCUUUGAUCACUUGAGAAGUACCAUCAGAGUGCAAAAUGGCAGGCACUAGGGAACAUUACGGCAAUUAUAAGGUGAUCGUUUUUAAAAAAUCAAAAGAAGUUUGAACUUAUUUGGGAGCUUUUUCCCAUUCAAGUCUGCUUGCAUCUGAACGGUAAGAUGCUGUAUUAGAUAAAAUAUGCACACUUCAGUGGGACUGUUCUUCAGAUAUUGACUCCGAAGUUAGCUCUGGUGCUGAACAAUCUGUACAGAACAGGC